AGCGGCAGGCUUAACACAUGCAAGUCGAGGGGCAGGCACGGGUAGCAAUACCUGGUGGCGACCGGCGCAAGGGUGCGUAACGCGUGAGCAACAUGCCCUAUACAGGGGGAUAAUCCAGGGAAACUUGGUCUAAUAUCCCAUAGUAUUUAGAGGAGGCAUCUUCUAUAAAUUAAAGCUUCGGUGGUAUAGGAUUGGCUCGCGUGACAUUAGCUAGAUGGUGAGGUAACGGCUCACCAUGGCAAUGAUGUCUAGGGGUUCUGAGAGGAAGGCCCCCCACACUGGGACUGAGACACGGCCCAGACUCCUACGGGAGGCAGCAGUGAGGAAUAUUGGACAAUGGAUGGAAAUCUGAUCCAGCCAUGCCGCGUGCAGGAAGACAGCCCUAUGGGUUGUAAACUGCUUUUAUAUGGGAGCAAUAAGGUCUACGUGUAGACUGAUGAGAGUACCAUAUGAAUAAGCAUCGGCUAACUCCGUG
RNAcentral lists this ribosomal RNA (475 nucleotides) under uncultured bacterium. RNAcentral describes it as "bacterial SSU rRNA". It matches the Rfam family "Bacterial small subunit ribosomal RNA", at positions 39 to 507 of the family's 1533-position model. The record is from RNAcentral.